Molecule: ribosomal RNA, 433 nt
Filed under: uncultured bacterium
Lineage: Bacteria
Description: partial 16S ribosomal RNA
Rfam family: Bacterial small subunit ribosomal RNA
Source: RNAcentral
AACGAACGCUGGCGGCAUGCCUAACACAUGCAAGUCGAACGAGACCUUCGGGUCUAGUGGCGCACGGGUGCGUAACGCGUGGGAACCUGCCCUUAGGUUCGGAAUAACUCCCCGAAAGGGGUGCUAAUACCGGAUAAUGUCCUCGGACCAAAGAUUUAUCGCCUUUGGAUGGGCCCGCGUUGGAUUAGCUAGUUGGUAGGGUAAAAGCCUACCAAGGCGACGAUCCAUAGCUGGUCUGAGAGGAUGAUCAGCCACACUGGGACUGAGACACGGCCCAGACUCCUACGGGAGGCAGCAGUGGGGAAUAUUGGACAAUGGGCGGAAGCCUGAUCCAGCAAUGCCGCGUGAGUGAUGAAGGCCUUAGAGUUGUAAAGCUCUUUUACCCGGGAUGAUAAUGACGGUACCGGGAGAAUAAGCUCCGGCUAACUCCGUG